AUGACCGACAGCAUAGAGACUGUCACCUUUAUUUUGUAUCUAGAAAUAUGCAGAAAGCAACAGUACAAAGUUCUCCUGGAUGACCAAGAUGCCUUAGCCGUGACUUGGGCUGUUGACAGCAGAAAAGGCAAGCUGCUCCUUCACUUUUUGGGCUCCAGAAGUAAACUGGUGACGAAGGCGUGAGCUGGGAUGGAAGCUCCUCAACAUGGUGGAGACUGUCUCCAGCUGCUGCUGCUAGAAAUAGCUUGGGGUGAGUGUACUGGAUAGGUGCAUCUGGUGCUGCUCUGCCACAAAUAGCAAUCCCUUUUAUGUUUACCAGUGCACUCUUCUCAAAAGAAAACAGAAAAACACAAUUUUGUAAGAAAAAAAAAAGUCCAGUAAUACGUUAUGGUGGUAGGUUGUUUUUUUUUUUAUGUGCUUUUCCUCUGGUGAAUUUAAACCUUCAUUUUCUCUCUGCCGAACAAAAGUGGCAGGUCUAAGGAGUAUUAGGUAAUUGCGGUUGUCAGAUUGCACAUAGUGUUGGGAAAAUAUUAAUUGCUGUGUUUUUGCCCAAGGCUUUAUGCAGCAGCCCCUUCAUUUACCUGGGAGCAGGUCAUUUCCCUCCCGUUCCAGACUGUGUACUGUUGAGCAGCAUGAAAGGAUUCCUGUACGGCUGCAUUGUGUGUGUAGGCGGGCAUCUCAUUCAGUAAUAAUUUCUAAUUUAUACAGCCAUGAAAAUCUGCUGCUAUAAAUAAACAGUUCUGACUGACUUUGCAUGCUUACUCAAAACAAAAUGUGUGAGAGAGAGAAAGAGGCUGAAAGAAAAAUCUAGUGUAAAUGUCAUAAAGACCAGUGUUCCUCAGUGAAGCCCAUCACAGAAUCAUAGAAUGGCCUGGGUUGAAAAGGACCACAGUGAUCAUCUAGUUACAACCCCCCUGCUAUGUGCAGGGUCGCCAACCACCAGACCAGGUUGCCCAGAGCCCUUCUGAAAUCAAAGGGAAAAUGUUUGUGAUCAACAAUGUACAGUUUUUUCCAUAUGCAGCUUCAUGUGUGCAUGAGAGAAAAAGGAGCAAAGCAAAGCUGAGAUCCUGCUGUUUGUGUCUUUGAGGCGAGUAUUCCUGAUCUACCUCUCAAAGCACAUAACCCAGACCCAGCCUCUUCCUCCUCCAGGCAGCAGGCGGAACGUGGCUGAGAGCAGAGCCUUCCUUGAGUCCUCACUAAAGCAAGUAAUGAAUGCAAGCAAUCCUCCUCACGCUUCUGCAGUCCAGCAGGAAGGUCUUCAGCCUUAAAAGCCACAGCAGGAGCCCUUUAGAUCCUCUGGCUAGUGGGUGGGGAAGGAACAGUCCCAUUGUCAGGCCCCAGGCUUUGUAUUGAGCUUCCAACAUUUAAAAUGCUUGCAUUAGGUUAUCAGUUAAAAAAUAAACAAACAAACAAAAAAACCCAAAAUAGCCGUAUAAGGAGUAUCCUGAACUCUCUCCUCUUCCCUAACUCACUGCAUGGCUUUCCUCUGUCUGCCUCUCAGAAAUAUUUCCUCUGACCAGUGUCUUUUAGCUGAACCCUUUCCACUCUCUCCUUCAACAGAAAAACUGUGUCUAAUUUCCUAUAUUCCCCCAGCAAAGUUAGCUGGAGUGCAUUAUCUAGAUGGACUAUGAGCUGUUGAAUGUGCACAUGCAUCUCACUGCAUAUAGUCAGUUUGCAGCCUAGUUCUAGUGUGUAAACUACCCAGUCUAGAACUUAAUCAGGUGCUUAACACCUGAGAAAAACAAUUGUACGUACACAUAAUUUUUUAUUGCUCACAGGCAGCUUACAACGUGUUUCGUUUUUCUUAAGCUACAGCAGCACUAAAAAGAUGAGAACAAGACCCUGGUGAGCUGUGUGUGCAGUAACUCUGAGCUAUGGGUUUGGGCAGUGAAGGCAGAAGUAUUGCAGCUGGUUUCAAAUCCUCAUUGAAAUGCAACGCUAAUAACAGAGAUCUCUCCUGUUCGCAUUGACCAUGAAGGAGUGCUUACACCACUGCCAGUUUUGUCUUUUUAUUGGAGUUUACAAAGCACAUCUCCAGUGUUUUAGAUGUUAACAAGAUGUUGGGGCUAAUAACAGAAAUCAACUAUAUUGAGCGAGUUUAGUAAACAUGUGAAUGGGGUGUAAUUAUAUGGCAGGCAGCUUUAUGUUAAACAGUGCUUUAAAUUAACGUGCUUUCUGUCAAAGCAAUCAUACAGUCAGUAUAAUUAGGUUACUUUUGCUACAAGAUUAACUGAAACCAAGAAAAAGGAAAAAAAAGUUGCGUUCAGAUUUCAUGUUAAUGUGGAAGGGGGAGGGAGGAUAUU
Long non-coding RNA from Meleagris gallopavo (turkey), 2303 nucleotides. NCBI's taxonomy places the organism in Eukaryota, Metazoa, Chordata, Aves, Galliformes, Phasianidae. The record is from Ensembl.